GGAGGCCUUCUCAGUGUCUCUCCUACGGUUUCCACAAAGCCAGGAACUUGGCAAAAGAGGAGACUUUUUCUCCUUUGUGUUCUGAACUGUGGCAUAGAAGAGGCCUUAUAGAAGAGAAUGCUGCUUCUGGAGAGAUGAAGAAACUGAAAAGGGAAGAUAUUUGCCUGAGAUGAUACAGAAAUCAGUUUCAGA
This is a non-coding RNA of Phascolarctos cinereus (koala), 192 nucleotides long. The record is from RefSeq and is a predicted model, not a curated record. Lineage: Eukaryota; Metazoa; Chordata; Mammalia; Diprotodontia; Phascolarctidae.